GGAAGGAGCUUGCUCUUUCUGGAUGAGUUGCGAACGGGUGAGUAACGCGUAGGUAACCUGCCUCUUAGCGGGGGAUAACUAUUGGAAACGAUAGCUAAUACCGCAUAAUAGUCGACAUUGCAUGAAGUUGACUUGAAAGGUGCAAUUGCAUCACUAAGAGAUGGACCUGCGUUGUAUUAGCUAGUUGGUGAGGUAACGGCUCACCAAGGCGACGAUACAUAGCCGACCUGAGAGGGUGAUCGGCCACACUGGGACUGAGACACGGCCCAGACUCCUACGGGAGGCAGCAGUAGGGAAUCUUCGGCAAUGGGGGGAACCCUGACCGAGCAACGCCGCGUGAGUGAAGAAGGUUUUCGGAUCGUAAAGCUCUGUUGUAAGAGAAGAACGAGUGUGAGAGUGGAAAGUUCACACUGUGACGGUAUCUUACCAGAAAGGGACGGCUAACUACGUGCCAGCAGCCGCGGUAAUACGUAGGUCCCGAGCGUUAUCCGGAUUUAUUGGGCGUAAAGCGAGCGCAGGCGGUUAGAUAAGUCUGAAGUUAAAGGCUGUGGCUUAACCAUAGUACGCUUUGGAAACUGUUUAACUUGAGUGCAAGAGGGGAGAGUGGAAUUCCAUGUGUAGCGGUGAAUGCGUAGAUAUAUGGAGGAACACCGGUGGCGAAAGCGGCUCUCUGGCUUGUAACUGACGCUGAGGCUCGAAAGCGUGGGGAGCAAACAGGAUUAGAUAUCCUGGUAGUCCACGCCGUAAACGAUGAGUGCUAGGUGUUAGACCCUUUCCGGGGUUUAGUGCCGCAGCUAAC
Molecule: ribosomal RNA, 799 nt
Filed under: uncultured Streptococcus sp.
Lineage: Bacteria; Bacillati; Bacillota; Bacilli; Lactobacillales; Streptococcaceae
Description: bacterial SSU rRNA
Rfam family: Bacterial small subunit ribosomal RNA
Source: RNAcentral